Long non-coding RNA from Pan troglodytes (chimpanzee), 2628 nucleotides. RefSeq lists it as uncharacterized. The transcript has 6 exons. Lineage: Eukaryota; Metazoa; Chordata; Mammalia; Primates; Hominidae. The record is from RefSeq and is a predicted model, not a curated record.
AGGAGUUAGAGGACCAGUGAGAGCCUAGCAGGAGUCCGAGGGCCAACGGGAGCCCAGUGGCAGUUAGGGAGCCUAUGGGAGCUCAGUGAAAGAGAGCCAAUGGGAGGCCCCAGGAGGAGUCAGAAAGAAGGCGAGAAAGAGUUCAGGGUAUUUUUUCCCUUGGCUGCUCCCUGGCUUGGUUAGAGCCCGUGUGAAGCGGCUGCUCCUCCCAAUUCCAGUAGCACUGCCCCUCCCCUUGUCCUCCAGAGCAGUUGAUGCUCGUGACUCCAACCAUUGCUAGCCCCUGGAGCUGCAGUAGCCCUGGUUAGUUCCAUUGCCUCUGCCUAAAGUACUUCACCUAAAUCGGACUUCAGCUCUGAAGAUGCCAUCUGUUUCUUGCCAGGACGUUAAUACUGUAGAUAUAAGUUUUUCAGGCCCUGCUUUCUCGGCCCUGCUCUGGAGUAACUGGGAAGAUCUUCAGUGAUCAACAGCCCAGAGAAUCCACUGCAGCAGCACAGAGCAUGAGGUCCCCUCAGCCCCACAGCCAGCCCAGGUGUCUGGGGGAGGAUGCUGGGCUGCUCACGUAUGGAGAGGAUCUAAACUCUGGACAGCUCCCUCAAGUAACCUCCUGGCUGCUUUCACAGCCUCUGGUCUGCUCCUCCCAAUUGGCCCUCAGGACUGCUACUAUCUCACUUCUCAUUUAAAAACCAUCCAUGGCUCCCGACUGCUGACAGGGCCCCCAGCACUGGACCAAGGCCUCCUUCCACCUUCUCCAUCCUGCUCCUCAGUCCCCAGGCCUGCUGAGGGCCACAAGUAGACCGAGGCCACCAGGUAGAAUGGGGCUACUUUGAGCUCAAGGUCUCCCACCACCAGAGGGCGUCACUUCCACCCUGAGCUCCUGACUCUGAGCCAAUUACGCAGGACGUGAGUUCUCAACGCUGGCGACACACUGAAGCCACCUGGAGAGCUUGGACAGGCUCCAACACCAGGGUCGUCCAGCGUGAUUGCUCUGGGGAUGGCCUGGGCAUCAGGAUUUUCAAAGCUCCCCAGAUGCUCCAUCCAUACAAGGGAUUACCACUCAGCAGUAGAAAGAAACAAACCACCGCCACAUGCCACAGCAUGAUGUGCCUCAAACACUGCGCUAAGUGAAAGAAGCCAGACGCAAAAGACUGCGUGUUCUUUAAUUCCAUUUAUAUGAAAUUUCCAGAAAAGGGGAGGAAUCGAAGCUCAGAGAAGCAAGGUAACGUCUCCAAGGUCACACAGCCAAUGUAUGAAGUGGUCUCUCCUUCCCAUGGAAGAGACAGGCGGCAAGAACCUCAGAAGAUGACAGCAGCAAGCAGUAAGGCAGGCCGUGUCCACACAAGCCGAGCGUACCUCAGAGAACCUCUGAACGUCUUGCGUCAGCGUGCCCACGCGCUUCCACUGGUAGUGCUUGAGCAACUUCAGAAUGGCUGGAUUCACCGCAUUGUCUGAUGGGACGGUCCGAAAGAAAUAAGGGUAUUUUUUCUUAUCGGCUAGAACAGGCGUGGUUGCAGCAAAAGAAAGCUGAAAAACACAAAAGAGACAACGCUUUUUACUGAUAAGCCUCACAGCUGUGACCCAGCAUCUUUCUGGAAUAGAGACUGUUAGCUUCAACUUAGAGCAUAAACACACAGGGACAGAUAUUUUUAAAACUUUUUUAUUGUAAGAGUAACAUAUCAUAAUGGAAGGGAAGGUUUAAAAAUGCAAAAUAAGGAGGAAGAAGGGAAAAAAUAGCCAAUGAUCUACCCCUCCCUAAAGAACCAUCAUUCAUGUUAUCGUCUAUUCCUUCCCAGUCCUUUUUCUAUGCAGGGAUUGAAUUUUUUAAAAAAGAUCCUGAAAUCAUUCUACAUGCACAAUUGAAUUGUUUUUCCCCAUUUAACGGUAUCCUUAAAAACUCUUCGGCCGGGCGCGGUGGCUCACGCCUGUAAUCCCAGCACUUUGGGAGGCCGAGGCGGGCGGAUCACGAGGUCAGGAGAUCGAGACCAUCCUGGCUAACACGGUGAAACCCCGUCUCUACUAAAAAUACAAAAAAUUAGCCGGGCGUGGUAGCGGGCGCCUGUAGUCCCAGCUACUCGGGAGGCUGAGGCAGAAGAAUGGCGUGAACCCGGGAGGCGGAGCUUGCAGUGAGCCGAGAUCGCGCCACUGCACUCCAGCCUGGGCGACAGAGCGAGACUCCGUCUCAAAAAAAAAAACAAAAACAAACAAACAAAAAACUCUUCGUAAACCUUAUAAUAGCUGCACAAUAUUCCAGCAUAUGAAUAUACCAUAAUUUACUGAAUCGUUUCUAAUUUGGGGUUAUUUCGAUUAUUUCUAAUUUGUCAUUAUCAUCAUAUUAUUCUACAGGCAUCUUUGUACAUAGCAUUUUUUGUUUUAUAUUUUGGGAUGUUUCCAUAAGAUAGAGUCUGUGAUGUAAAAUUUUCCAGAUAAAGAAUAUGAGUCUUUAAAGAUUUAUACUUAUUUCCAAAAAACAUUUUAUCGGUUUGCAAAUUUACUAGCCAGGAAUGAUUAGAGGGCCAGUCUCACCACAUCUUUGCCAACACAGGGAGUAAAAAAUGUUAUUCUGUCUAAUUUUGUAAUGAUUUAUCACCAAAUAAAACCCUGAAUCAUAUCGCAUUCAUGGUUAUAGAU